UAGGGAAUCUUCCGCAAUGGACGCAAGUCUGACGGAGCAACGCCGCGUGAGUGAAGAAGGAUUUCGGUUCGUAAAACUCUGUUGUUAGAGAAGAACAGCGCAUAGAGUAACUGUUAUGCGUGUGACGGUAUCUAACCAGAAAGCCACGGCUAACUACGUGCCAGCAGCCGCGGUAAUACGUAGGUGGCAAGCGUUGUCCGGAUUUAUUGGGCGUAAAGCGAGCGCAGGCGGUCAAUUAAGUCUGAUGUGAAAGCCCCCGGCUCAACCGGGGAGGGUCAUUGGAAACUGGUUGACUUGAGUGCAGAGGAGGAGAGUGGAAUUCCAUGUGUGACGGUGAAAUGCGUAGAUAUAUGGAGGAACACCAGUGGCGAAGGCGACUCUCUGGUCUGUAACUGACGCGGAGGCUCGAAAGCGUGGGUAGCAAACAGG
This 429-nucleotide ribosomal RNA is filed under the name Bacteroidota bacterium. Its description in RNAcentral is "Bacteroidetes bacterium partial 16S ribosomal RNA". It matches the Rfam family "Bacterial small subunit ribosomal RNA", at positions 355 to 776 of the family's 1533-position model. Lineage: Bacteria; Pseudomonadati; Bacteroidota. The record is from RNAcentral.